UCCCUUAGUAGCGGCGGACGGGUGAGUAACACGUGGGUAACCUGCCUGUAAGACUGGGAUAACUCCGGGAAACCGGGGCUAAUACCGGAUGCUUGAUUGAACCGCAUGGUUCAAUUAUAAAAGGUGGCUUUCAGCUACCACUUGCAGAUGGACCCGCGGCGCAUUAGCUAGUUGGUGAGGUAACGGCUCACCAAGGCGACGAUGCGUAGCCGACCUGAGAGGGUGAUCGGCCACACUGGGACUGAGACACGGCCCAGACUCCUACGGGAGGCAGCAGUGGUCAUAG
Molecule: ribosomal RNA, 286 nt
Filed under: Bacillus sp. MH1.2
Lineage: Bacteria; Bacillati; Bacillota; Bacilli; Caryophanales; Bacillaceae
Description: partial 16S ribosomal RNA
Rfam family: Bacterial small subunit ribosomal RNA
Source: RNAcentral